GGGGGGCGACAUUUAUCCGCUGUGCCUUGACUAUGUCGCAUUUUUAUUGAAACAAUGCAUUUUAUAUUCAUUUUCGUGAUUUCAGUAUUUUCAAUCGAUUUAAUCCGAUUGUCUCGGAUAAUGUCGGAUUUCUUCAAUUUUCAUUCGCUAAUUUAUUUUCAGUGCAUUUUGUUCCAUGCGUUACACACGUUACACACGCACACACAUAAUCGUCAAACAAAUACUUAUAAAUCAAACGUCAAAACAAGUUCACUCUGUUUACGUUUACUCUGCGCGUACCAAAUUCUCGUCCAAAAUCUCGCAAUUAUUUCUGUUUAGUGCUAAAAGUGGCGAAAAUAUGGAUUAUUUUUGGAGAGUAUUGAGCAAAGUGGUCGGUCCGAUUCCAGUAAGUAUCAAGGUGAUACUGGAGCAGCUGCGAUACAUCCAUGGCGGCCUUGCCUACUUAAAUGAUGACGUUAUAAACGCGAUGGAGGAGGAAGUCAAACCGAGGGGGGUGACAAUUCAAGAUAAUUCCCGAUUUUAGACUUAAUCACAGCUUUUUCCCGAGUUUGAUGCGAAAUCCGACUAAUCCGAUGAUUAAUCAGUACAAAUCGGGCUGAAUGGUUCAUAUCUCCUUUAUCGUAAGAAUAUCCAUCCACAUCUUUAAUAAUAGAACUGACUUAUUCUGUCAUUAUGACAACUAGUACCACUGUCACGUAAGAGUGUGUUGUGCACGUUUUGCAUGUACGGGUUAGAAUUCAAAACAACAUUCCAAACUUUGGUUGCAUUUGUGUAUUUAAUAUUAGGAAAAAAUUUAUUUGAGACUUAGUUACUUAGUUAACUUAGUUACUCGCCAAUUACCAUGACAGCUAAAUACGUAUUCAUAAAUAUUUCAUAAAUAUAUUCAGGCCUGCAGCCAGAGACUGAAAACUGUGUUAUGUUCAAUAUUUAACAUGCAGCCAGCUUGUACCCUAUUACUCAAGGAAGCCAUCGAAUUGAGAAUGAUUGGAGCUCGAAACCAAAAAGUAUCAGCAUCAUCCUAUCUUGCAGGAUCGGAACAGAAAGCAAGGCGGUACCGUUUUGCGGGGUGUCAUUGGGCCAAAGUGGAGUGACAUUGGACUAUUUUAUACGUUUAGAAUACGACGGAAAUGCAUAUUGUGUGCUAAACUAUACUAUACUAGGAUACAUAAUUCUGAGAUACUUUGCAUCCACCGUCGUAUUCUCUGACUUAUAUUGAAUCCGUGUGAUCGGUGGACCAAUGUCACCCCGAACGACGGUACCUAGAGUGAUGUUCAUCAAAAAGGCUGGUCUUAUUAAUGCUGAUUGUCAGUGUAUCCAAAAAGUUAUUAGAUGUACUUGUCGUACGUUUAGUGUGCGAAGGGGAAUCAAAAGGAAUGAACAUACAUCUAAUCUCGUGAAACUAUGAUCAAGACGAGCAUCAAGGUGCAUCAAUGAAAUUGUAAAACAUAUCUCUAUAUGUGGCAAUAUGUGAUCACAAUGACACAAUUUGGGCGCAAUAAAAGUCGAGUAUUUGAAAAUAGAAACAUUGGGUAUUCUGUGAAUUGAGAAAAACAAAAAAAAGGAAAUGAUUCUAAAAAUGACCAUUUAUUGCACAACGUUAUGAUAAUCACGAAGCUACACUGAUCGCCUUCAUCAUCGGUAAAUGGAUCGCUGUCCUCAUACUUCAUUCGCUUUACAACUAGAUGCUGCAAUACGUAUGUCGGAGGUCCAUCCUCACAAGUACGCCUCACUUCCCGAUCGUUCUCGUUUGUCAGUACUGCAGCGACCGUCGAGGUUUGAGAACAUGAUUGCUGACUAAUUUCCAGGUAUUCGGUUUCAUAAGCUUCAGGUGUUGCCAUUACCGUCCAUGGAGUAUCUUCCGGAGUGGUUUCCAGAUGACUGUCACAUGGACGCUUCUUGGACUGCUGUGAGAUAAAAUCACCGGGAAUAUCGUAUUCGGCAUGCUUAACUCGAACAUGUGAAGAAAAGCUAGAUAUUUUCCAGCUGCCAGAUUUUUCCAUGCAAAUUCGCAAAAAGGACACUUUAGGACCGCCCUCGUGCCAGCUUCAUCAUGUCGACCUUCAUGGAUGCUAUUUGAUCGAAAAAGUAUGUUUCGGCGUUGCUUCCAUUGCUGCAUCUGAAAAUAAAAUAGCAAUACAUACAUCAAUGGUUAGUAGUAGAGUGGGUCAACGUUGUAUGAAAAAAAUAAAAUUCUAUCGCAUCAACCCGGAACAAAGCUUUUUACCGAAGACGGCUAAUAAUUAGCCGUCUUCGUUUUUACCCUUAUGGGUGGGUAUAAAAACCGACUUUCGAUCCGAAGCCUGCAGGCCCGAGUCUCAUAUACCAAUCAACUAAAAAUACUUACUUCUUUGUGUAAAAUUCGAUGACUUUCUGCCUCACCGAUUGCUCAGUCUGUUUUUCGGGGGCCGAUUCAGAUUUUCCAAGGAAGUCUUGUUUGAUUAGUUCCUUCGUGAAUUUGGAAAUGCCUUGCUUCUCAACUAUAUUGGAUAUCACCUUCAAUAAGCUCCGCUCUCCCAACACGAAGCGGAAGUUUUUCAAAGGCCCGUUGAAGCCAAUCAUCUUCUGCCAUUCACGAUCUAAUUUUCCGGUUGUUUCUGGAAGGUGUUUGACUUCCUCCUCCAUCGCGUUUAUAACGUCAUCAUUUAAGUAGGCAAGGCCGCCAUGGAUGUAUCGCAGCUGCUCCAGUAUCACCUUGAUACUUACUGGAAUCGGACCGACCACUUUGCUCAA
This is a long non-coding RNA of Aedes albopictus (Asian tiger mosquito), 2730 nucleotides long. RefSeq lists it as uncharacterized. The transcript is spliced from 2 exons. NCBI's taxonomy places the organism in Eukaryota, Metazoa, Arthropoda, Insecta, Diptera, Culicidae. The record is from RefSeq and is a predicted model, not a curated record.